CGAAAGCCUGACGGAGCAAGACCGCGUGAGGGAGGAAGGCUCUUGGGUUGUAAACCUCUUUUCUCAGGGAAGAAGCUCUGACGGUACCUGAGGAAUCAGCAUCGGCUAACUCCGUGCCAGCAGCCGCGGUAAUACGGAGGAUGCAAGCGUUAUCCGGAAUCAUUGGGCGUAAAGCGUCCGCAGGUGGUCAUUCAAGUCUGCUGUUAAAGACAGAAGCUCAACUUCUGAUAGGCAGUGGAAACUGGAUGACUAGAGUAUGGUAGGGGUUGAGGGAAUUCCCAGUGUAGCGGUGAAAUGCGUAGAUAUUGGGAAGAACACCAGUGGCGAAGGCGCUCAACUGGGCCAUAACUGACACUCAGGGACGAAAGCUAGGGUAGCG
Molecule: ribosomal RNA, 379 nt
Filed under: uncultured cyanobacterium
Lineage: Bacteria; Bacillati; Cyanobacteriota
Description: bacterial SSU rRNA
Rfam family: Bacterial small subunit ribosomal RNA
Source: RNAcentral